CGGAAGUAGCUCAGUUGAUAGAGCAUUAGCCUUCCAAGCUGAGGGUCGCGGGUUUGAAUCCCGUCUUCCG
This 70-nucleotide transfer RNA is filed under the name Bacteroides cellulosilyticus. It matches the Rfam family "tRNA". From Rfam's summary of the family: Transfer RNA (tRNA) molecules are approximately 80 nucleotides in length. Their secondary structure includes four short double-helical elements and three loops (D, anti-codon, and T loops). Lineage: Bacteria; Pseudomonadati; Bacteroidota; Bacteroidia; Bacteroidales; Bacteroidaceae. The record is from RNAcentral. RNAcentral also lists the same sequence under 2 other names.